RNAcentral lists this ribosomal RNA (476 nucleotides) under uncultured bacterium. RNAcentral describes it as "partial 16S ribosomal RNA". It matches the Rfam family "Bacterial small subunit ribosomal RNA", at positions 29 to 523 of the family's 1533-position model. The record is from RNAcentral.
AUUGAACGCUGGCGGCGUGCCUAACACAUGCAAGUCGAGCGAUGAAACCCCUCGGGGGGGAUUAGCGGCGGACGGGUGAGUAACACGUGGGUAACCUGCCUCAAAGAGGGGGAUAGCAUCCCGAAAGGGAGAUUAAUACCGCAUAACAUUAGUUUUUCGCAUGAAGAACGAAUUAAAGGAGCAAUCCGCUUUGAGAUGGCCCCGCGGCGCAUUAGCUAGUUGGUGAGGGAAAGGCCCACCAAGGGGAGGAUGCGUAGCCGGCCUGAGAGGGUGAUCGGCCACAUUGGAACUGAGACACGGUCCAGACUCCUACGGGAGGCAGCAGUGGGGAAUAUUGCACAAUGGGCGAAAGCCUGAUGCAGCAACGCCGCGUGAGUGAUGAAGGCCUUCGGGUUGUAAAGCUCUGUCUUUUGGGACGAUAAUGACGGUACCAAAGGAGGAAGCCACGGCUAACUACGUGCCAGCCGCCGCAGUAA